UACGUAGGGGGCAAGCGUUGUCCGGAAUCAUUGGGCGUAAAGCGCGUGUAGGCGGCUCGGUAAGUCUGCUGUGAAAGUCCAGGGCUCAACCCUGGGAUGCCGGUGGAUACUGUCGAGCUCGAGUCCGGAAGAGGCGAGUGGAAUUCCUGGUGUAGCGGUGAAAUGCGCAGAUAUCAGGAAGAACACCCGUGGCUAAGGCGGCUCUCUAGUACGGUACUGACGCUGAGACGCGAAAGCGUGGGGAGCGAACAGG
RNAcentral lists this ribosomal RNA (253 nucleotides) under uncultured bacterium. Its description in RNAcentral is "partial 16S ribosomal RNA". It matches the Rfam family "Bacterial small subunit ribosomal RNA", at positions 524 to 776 of the family's 1533-position model. The record is from RNAcentral.